AGUGAACGCUGGCGGUAGGCCUAGCACAUGCAAGUCGAACGGCAGCACAGUAAGAGCUUGCUCUUACGGGUGGCGAGUGGCGGACGGGUGAGGAAUACAUCGGCAUCUACUUUUUCGUGGGGGAUAACGUAGGGAAACUUACGCUAAUACCGCAUACGACCUACGGGUGAAAUCAGGGGAUCUUCGGACCUUGCGCGAUUGAAUGAGCCGAUGUCGGAUUAGCUAGUUGGCGGGGUAAAGGCCCACCAAGGCGACGAUCCGUAGCUGGUCUGAGAGGAUGAUCAGCCACACUGGAACUGAGACACGGUCCAGACUCCUACGGGAGGCAGCAGUGGGGAAUAUUGGACAAUGGGCGCAAGCCUGAUCCAGCCAUACCGCGUGGGUGAAGAAGGCCUUCGGGUUGUAAAGCCCUUUUGUUGGGAAAGAAAAGCAGCAGGUUAAUACCCCGCUGUUCUGACGGUACCCAAAGAAUAAGCACCGGCUAACUUCGUG
Molecule: ribosomal RNA, 492 nt
Filed under: uncultured bacterium
Lineage: Bacteria
Description: partial 16S ribosomal RNA
Rfam family: Bacterial small subunit ribosomal RNA
Source: RNAcentral